Molecule: ribosomal RNA, 447 nt
Filed under: uncultured bacterium
Lineage: Bacteria
Description: bacterial SSU rRNA
Rfam family: Bacterial small subunit ribosomal RNA
Source: RNAcentral
UGGGGAAUCUUGGACAAUGGGCGCAAGCCUGAUCCAGCCAUGCCGCGUGGAUGAUGAAGGCCUUAGGGUUGUAAAAUCCUUUCGCCGAGGACGAUAAUGACGGUACUCGGAGAAGAAGCUCCGGCUAACUUCGUGCCAGCAGCCGCGGUAAUACGAAGGGGGCUAGCGUUGUUCGGAUUUACUGGGCGUAAAGCGCGUGUAGGCGGGUCGUUAAGUUGGGGGUGAAAUCCCGAGGCUCAACCUCGGAACUGCCUUCAAAACUGGCGACCUGGACCUAAGUAGAGGCAAGUGGAAUUGCGAGUGUAGAGGUGAAAUUCGUAGAUAUUCGCAGGAACACCAGUGGCGAAGGCGACUUGCUGGACUUAUGGUNACGCUGAGACGCGAAAGCGUGGGGAGCAAACAGGAUUAGAUACCCCCGUAGUCCCUGAGCGGGCUGGCAAGGCGCAU